GGUGCUGCAUGGCUGUCGUCAGCUCGUGUCGUGAGAUGUUGGGUUAAGUCCCGCAACGAGCGCAACCCUCAUCCUUAGUUACCAUCAGGUAAUGCUGGGGACUUUAAGGAAACUGCCAGUGAUAAACUGGAGGAAGGUGGGGAUGAUGCCAAGUCAUCAUGGCCCUUAUGGAGUGGGCUACACACGUGCUACAAUGGUGGCUACAAUGGGCUGCAAAGUCGCGAGGCUAAGCUAAUCCCUUAAAAGCCAUCUCAGUUCGGAUUGUACUCUGCAACUCGAGUGCAUGAAGUUGGAAUCGCUAGUAAUCGUGGAUCAGCACGCCACGGUGAAUACGUUCCCGGGUCUUGUACACAC
This 354-nucleotide ribosomal RNA is filed under the name uncultured bacterium. Its description in RNAcentral is "bacterial SSU rRNA". It matches the Rfam family "Bacterial small subunit ribosomal RNA", at positions 1037 to 1390 of the family's 1533-position model. The record is from RNAcentral.